Molecule: ribosomal RNA, 396 nt
Filed under: uncultured bacterium
Lineage: Bacteria
Description: bacterial SSU rRNA
Rfam family: Bacterial small subunit ribosomal RNA
Source: RNAcentral
CUGGGUCUGACAUGGAUCGGGAGCGCUCAGAGAUGGGUGUGCCUCUUUUGGGGUCGGUUCACAGGUGGUGCAUGGCUGUCGUCAGCUCGUGUCGUGAGAUGUUGGGUUAAGUCCCGCAACGAGCGCAACCCUUGUUCACUGUUGCCAGCACGUUAUGGUGGGGACUCAGUGGAGACCGCCGGGGUCAACUCGGAGGAAGGUGGGGAUGACGUCAAGUCAUCAUGCCCCUUAUGUCCAGGGCUUCACGCAUGCUACAAUGGCUGGUACAGAGAGUGGCGAGCCUGUGAGGGUGAGCGAAUCUCGGAAAGCCGGUCUCAGUUCGGAUUGGGGUCUGCAACUCGACCUCAUGAAGUCGGAGUCGCUAGUAAUCGCAGAUCAGCAACGCUGCGGUGAAUA